GUCAGCUCGUGUCGUGAGAUGUUCGGUUAAGUCCGGCAACGAGCGCAACCCGUAUCGUUAGUUACCAUCAGGUAAUGCUGGGAACUCUAACGAGACUGCCCGUGUUAAGCGGGAGGAAGGCGCGGACGACGUCAAGUCAGUAUGGCCCUUAUGUCCGGGGCUGCACACGUGCUACAAUGGCCGGUACAAUGGGCAGCGAGACUGCGAAGUCGAGCAAAUCUCCAAAUCCGGCCUCAGUUCAGAUUGCAGUCUGCAACUCGACUGCAUGAAGUUGGAAUCGCUAGUAAAGGCGUAUCAGCAAUGGCGCCUUGAAUACGUUCCCGGGCCUUGUA
This 332-nucleotide ribosomal RNA is filed under the name Ctenophora environmental sample. Its description in RNAcentral is "partial Bacterial small subunit ribosomal RNA". It matches the Rfam family "Bacterial small subunit ribosomal RNA", at positions 1054 to 1385 of the family's 1533-position model. Lineage: Eukaryota; Metazoa; Ctenophora. The record is from RNAcentral.